GCAAGUUGAGCGCUGAAGGUUGGUACUUGUACCGACUGGAUGAGCAGCCAUUGGGUGAGUAACGCGUGGGGAAUCUGCCUUUGAGCGGGGCAUAACAUUUGGAAACGAAUGCUAAUACCGCAUAAAAACUUUAAACACAAGUUUUAAGUUUGAAAGAUGCAAUUGCAUCACUCAAAGAUGAUCCCGCGUUGUAUUAGCUAGUUGGUGAGGUAAAGGCUCACCAAGGCGAUGACACAUAGCCGACCUGAGAGGGUGAUCGGCCACAUUGGGACUGAGACACGGCCCAAACUCCUACGGGAGGCAGCAGUAGGGAAUCUUCGGCAAUGGACGAAAGUCUGACCGAGCAACGCCGCGUGAGUGAAGAAGGUUUUCGGAUCGUAAAACUCUGUUGGUAGAGAAGAACGUUGGUGAGAGUGGAAAGCUCAUCAAGUGACGGUAACUACCCAGAAAGGGACGGCUAACUACGUGCCAGCAGCCGCGGUAAUACGUAGGUCCCGAGCGUUGUCCGGAUUUAUUGGGCGUAAAGCGAGCGCAGGUGGUUUAUUAAGUCUGGUGUAAAAGGCAGUGGCUCAACCAUUGUAUGCAUUGGAAACUGGUAGACUUGAGUGCAGGAGAGGAGAGUGGAAUUCCAUGUGUAGCGGUGAAAUGCGUAGAUAUAUGGAGGAACACCGGUGGCGAAAGCGGCUCUCUGGCCUGUAACUGACACUG
This 708-nucleotide ribosomal RNA is filed under the name uncultured bacterium. RNAcentral describes it as "bacterial SSU rRNA". It matches the Rfam family "Bacterial small subunit ribosomal RNA", at positions 57 to 748 of the family's 1533-position model. The record is from RNAcentral.